CUGUCCCAUGGAACGCUUGGCUUUGACCACGGUGCUUAGCUUUUAUAAAUCAGAUUAUUUUCCUUCUGCCUUUAAAAAAAAAAAACACAAAAAACCCAGCUUUGGUCUCUGACUCACAGGCUCAAAACAGACUGCGCUGGUUACAGAGGUUGGGAAUUUCAGCAGUGGCACAGGCUGGAACUGUUCUCCAAUAGGAAAUCGAAGACCGGGAGACAAAGGAGGGGAGGUGGAGCGGGGAGGGCCGGCAGAGCAGGAAAUAGUGGCGGAGAUAAUGUUCAGCUGGGGAAGGAGCUGGCUCCCGGGUGCCCCCCAACAACCGAAAGGUUGCUCAGACCCAGGAUGCUGCUUCCUGGAGGAGCCAGAUACUCAGCCGCUGGCUCUGAGAGGGAGAGGGGACCAUCCACGACGGGCGCAGAGAGCCAUAUGCGGGGCUGCAGCCGAGGGACAUGCACCUCGCACCACCCUGUGAGCUGACAUGCGACCCUGAGACGUUCACGUGAUGUACAAACAGCGACCCCUGUUGGACGACGACGGUGUUGGCAGGAAGAGUCUUGGGGGCCGUCUUGGCCCCUUUGAGCUGCUUACGGAAUACCACAGACUGGGUGGCUGACAAAUAACAGAAGUUUAUUCCUGACAGUUUUGGAGGCUGGAGGUUCAAACUCAAGAUGCUAGCAGAUUCAGGGUCUGGUGAGUGCCCGUGUGCUGAUUCGUAGACUAACUUUAAACUCACAUGGUUGGGGGAUAGGGGGCAAGAAAUCUCUCCUGGACCUCAUUUAAAAACGGUAUUACUCCCUGAAGGCCCACCUCCUAAUAGCAUCACAGUGGGCAUUAG
Molecule: long non-coding RNA, 832 nt
Filed under: Bos indicus x Bos taurus (hybrid cattle)
Lineage: Eukaryota; Metazoa; Chordata; Mammalia; Artiodactyla; Bovidae
Description: lncRNA (ENSBIXG00005017522.1)
Source: RNAcentral